GGCAUAACCAUGUCUAAGGACUUGGAAGAUCGAGCAUCUUCAGCAACAUUUAGAAGCUUUAAACUUUCUUUCCAGCACUCUUCUCCCCGCCACAGAAGCUUAACUUUGGGGGAAUAGGGAUGAAGGAGUCCACCAGACAUUCCAGAUGCACCUCCACCAAUGCCAACUUCAUCAUAUAUGUCUAUGCAAAAAUUUGAUUCCUUUGCAACAAAUGCCA
Molecule: unclassified non-coding RNA, 217 nt
Filed under: Hevea brasiliensis (rubber tree)
Lineage: Eukaryota; Viridiplantae; Streptophyta; Magnoliopsida; Malpighiales; Euphorbiaceae
Source: RNAcentral